UAUCCCCUGUCUCUCGUCGCUCUCGUCCCUUCUUUUCCUCUCGAUGGCUCCUAGAUCCAUCCGGCGUCGAAGCCCUCGUCCCAAACCUGAGCGUCGGCGCCUCCACUUCUCUCCUCAUCAUUUCCUCACGCACGGGUCCCGGCGCCCACCGGCCCACGUCGAGCGUUUGCAGCGCCGCCGCUGCGGAUCCUGCACCUGCGGGUGGUGGAGCAGGCCGACCAGGCCGUGGAGGUAGGAGGAGGCCUUGGGGAAUGCGGACGGUGAGGGCGGCCAGCCGUCUUGCGGAACCACACUGCUAACUCCCAUCUCUUGCCGCUUGCAAGGCGGACCAUGGAUGCGGCGAUGUGCAUCUGCUGAACGAACCAUCUGUCCGGCCACCUCCGUACGAGGCCUGCAGAAGAAGAGCACGAAGAACAUCCCUCUUCCUUUACAUCUACAAACGAAUUUACAAGUGAAUGAUCCAUGGAGUUCAGGCGACAACAACAGCUGGCUCCGUACAGCCUAAAGUGUGACAUGGAACUGCUUAACAACAUGUAUAAACUUCUGAAGCAAAAGCACUUUACUGAAAGAGCCAAAGUAUGCUUAUUAAUUUAUUGUCCGCCUCACAAGUGGUUGUAUUUAGGUUACUUUCUUUGCCCUUAGUUUCAGCAUUGACUUAUUGUUUGCAUAUGUGAACAUAUUUCCAUUGUUCUUUGCCCUUAGUUUCAGCAUUGACUUAUUGUUUGCAUAUGUGAACAUAUUUCCAUUGUUCUUUUCGACAACAUGUAGGUUUAUUGAUAUGCCUCGUAUGCAAGCUCCUGACCCACUGCAGAAGUGAAUGUCAAUUUUCCUGUAUGAAAAAUUGCUCUUGUGCGGCAUAUGCCCAUUUGCUAUUUGAUGGUUGCAGCUUAAGGCAUGCUAUCAGACACGCAAGAUGGAGCUAAAACUGUUCGUCUUUGCGCAGCUGCAUCAGAAUUACAAUAUAGCAGUAUCUUAGAUAACAAACAUAUUGCAUGGUAAACAAUUAAUGCCACUGGGCCAGACAGUAUGUGAAGAUUGGGUGAUUCCAAGAAGACAAAAAGCAUCACUGAUAGUUUAUUAAAUCUCAAGUGUCAUGCUCUUUCUUUUUUGCAGGUCACAAAAUGCUUUGGAUAGCAUAUGUAUUUCUGUCAGUUGCAUUUCAUGUCUUUCGUCUCGUCUAUUUUAUUUGGAUUAGGAGAUGGAAAAUAAAGAUGUAAUGGAACUUUGGCAGAGCGAAGACACAUACUCUCACUUUAUGAUGCUUUCCAUUUCACAGAUAGAAAAUGCCACAGAUAAUUUCUCAACUGAAAAGAAGCUUGGAGGAAGGUUUGCCCCUAUGUACAAGACUAAUUGUGUUCUUUAGUUUUGUUUGUUACUAUGUUUUCUAGAAUGUCAAGGCGGAAGGGUGCUGAUUAUUAUAAUUCAUGGUUUAAUUGUUCGGACUUGAGCUUCGGGGGGUAGGGGGUGGGGGGCAUGUUCUUCAUAUUACUUUCUGUUAGAUUGUUGUUUGGUUGUCCAUAUAGAACUACCGAUGCAAAAGGAGAGGUGCAAAUUUGGAGAUUGACCAAUGAUAUGUUAUUUAAUUUGUGUUUAUUUACAAGAACUCUACUUGAUUGUUGCAGAUAAAUUGUGAGAAGAUGAUGCUUUUAAGAUAUGAUCUGCAUUUGCAACUAGUGUCUUGUUCUAAAAAUGUCUCCAAUCAUCCUUAGUUAAUGUCAUGAGCACAGCUCCAGUCAUGUUAAUGUCAUGAGCACAGCUCCAGUCAUGUUACUUUCCUUGUGGACUAAACUUUGCUCAGCUAAUGUUAUUUUAUUUGUUGGGUACUUUUACAUGGCACAUUUUUUUAUAAUGAUAUGAGCAUGUGGAUAUUGCAAAUAGAGAGGGGGCUCAUUUGUUCAUGGAACUUGGGGAGAUACGAUCUUUGAUAUAUGAGCGUUUUAUUUUUUUUUCAUUUUCUUGUCCUGUACCAUUUGAAACUACAUUCUUCAGCGCCACAUUUCGUCUAUAUAGAAAGUCAGUAUUUUCUUGGUUCUUCGUAUGAGUGGCCAUGCUAUGUGAUAGUCCUAAUUUUACUUUUUAGA
Long non-coding RNA from Triticum dicoccoides, 2081 nucleotides. RefSeq lists it as uncharacterized. NCBI's taxonomy places the organism in Eukaryota, Viridiplantae, Streptophyta, Magnoliopsida, Poales, Poaceae. The transcript has 5 exons. The record is from RefSeq and is a predicted model, not a curated record.